RNAcentral lists this ribosomal RNA (446 nucleotides) under uncultured bacterium. Its description in RNAcentral is "partial 16S ribosomal RNA". It matches the Rfam family "Bacterial small subunit ribosomal RNA", at positions 338 to 795 of the family's 1533-position model. The record is from RNAcentral.
CCUACGGGUGGCAGCAGUCGAGAAUCAUUCACAAUGGGGGAAACCCUGAUGGUGCGACGCCGCGUGGGGGAAUGAAGGUCUUCGGAUUGUAAACCCCUGUCAUGUGGGAGCAAAUUAAAAAGAUAGUACCACAAGAGGAAGAGACGGCUAACUCUGUGCCAGCAGCCGCGGUAAUACAGAGGUCUCAAGCGUUGUUCGGAAUCACUGGGCGUAAAGCGUGCGUAGGCUGUUUCGUAAGUAGUGUGUGAAAGGCGCGGGCUCAACCCGCGGACGGCACAUGAUACUGCGAGACUAGAGUAAGGGAGGGGGAACCGGAAUUCGCGGUGUAGCAGUGAAAUGCGUAGAUAUCGAGAGGAACACUCGUGGCGAAGGCGGGUUCCUGGACAUUAACUGACGCUGAGGCACGAAGGCCAGGGGAGCGAAAGGGAUUAGAUACCCCUGUAGUC